RNAcentral lists this small RNA (391 nucleotides) under Pseudomonas phage PAK_P4. RNAcentral's name for it is "putative antisense RNA". The record is from RNAcentral. Lineage: Duplodnaviria; Heunggongvirae; Uroviricota; Caudoviricetes; Vandenendeviridae.
AAGCUUUCUCUACUUCCUCUUCGGAGUAGGUGUCUGCGUGUAGGUCAGUCGUGGAGUCGCCUUCUUGGGGCUCAAGAACGACAAACAAAGCCAUCCUCUUUUCAUUGUCUAGGGACUUUGUGACCUCUACAGCCGGGGCUUCUUCCGCCUUGGCGGGAGCCCCGAAAGCAUUGCUGAGAGCUUCAAUAACACUUUCAAGAGUCAGCAUUCUGUCUCCUUAUGCGUUAUUUGCAGCGGCGUUGUCUCUACCGGCUGCGGAUGUUGAUGCACCAUUACCUACUCCAGCUUUACCUGCUUGAGACUGACCACCCAUGAUAUUAUCCACAUCAACAGGCUCGUCGUCUGGUCGAGGCUUAAUCUUGAGAGCUUUGCGAAUCUUGUUGUAAACCUC